RNAcentral lists this ribosomal RNA (554 nucleotides) under Mycolicibacterium iranicum. RNAcentral describes it as "bacterial SSU rRNA". It matches the Rfam family "Bacterial small subunit ribosomal RNA", at positions 92 to 661 of the family's 1533-position model. Lineage: Bacteria; Bacillati; Actinomycetota; Actinomycetes; Mycobacteriales; Mycobacteriaceae. The record is from RNAcentral.
UUAGUGGCGACGGGUGAGUAACACGUGGGUGAUCUGCCCUGCACUUUGGGAUAAGCCUGGGAAACUGGGUCUAAUACCGGAUAGGACUACGCACUGCAUGGUGUGUGGUGGAAAGCUUUUGCGGUGUGGGAUGGGCCCGCGGCCUAUCAGCUUGUUGGUGGGGUGAUGGCCUACCAAGGCGACGACGGGUAGCCGGCCUGAGAGGGUGACCGGCCACACUGGGACUGAGAUACGGCCCAGACUCCUACGGGAGGCAGCAGUGGGGAAUAUUGCACAAUGGGCGCAAGCCUGAUGCAGCGACGCCGCGUGAGGGAUGACGGCCUUCGGGUUGUAAACCUCUUUCGCCAGGGACGAAGCGCAAGUGACGGUACCUGGAGAAGAAGGACCGGCCAACUACGUGCCAGCAGCCGCGGUAAUACGUAGGGUCCGAGCGUUGUCCGGAAUUACUGGGCGUAAAGAGCUCGUAGGUGGUUUGUCGCGUUGUUCGUGAAAACUCACAGCUUAACUGUGGGCGUGCGGGCGAUACGGGCAGACUGGAGUACUGCAGGGGAGAC